This 468-nucleotide ribosomal RNA is filed under the name uncultured bacterium. RNAcentral describes it as "partial 16S ribosomal RNA". It matches the Rfam family "Bacterial small subunit ribosomal RNA", at positions 28 to 507 of the family's 1533-position model. The record is from RNAcentral.
GACGAACGCUGGCGGCGUGCUUAACACAUGCAAGUCGAACGGAAAGGCCCUGCUUUUGUGGGGUGCUCGAGUGGCGAACGGGUGAGUAACACGUGAGUAACCUGCCCUUGACUUUGGGAUAACUUCAGGAAACUGGGGCUAAUACCGGAUAGGAGCUCCUGCUGCAUGGUGGGGGUUGGAAAGUUUCGGCGGUUGGGGAUGGACUCGCGGCUUAUCAGCUUGUUGGUGGGGUAGUGGCUUACCAAGGCUUUGACGGGUAGCCGGCCUGAGAGGGUGACCGGCGACAUUGGGACUGAGAGAAGGCCCAGAGUCCUACGGGAGGCAGCAGGGGGGAAUAUUGCACAAUGGGCUGGAGCCGGAUGCAGCAACGCCGCGUGCGGGAUGGCGGCGUUCGGGUUGUAAACCGAUUUCGCCUGUGACGAAGCGUGAGUGACGGUAAUGGGUAAAGAAGCACCGGCUACCUACGUG